ACAACCUGUGGAAGGGUUCUGAACUGUCUUUGUGUGAAGCACAGAUUAAGUGAGGCAGUGGGUAUUAUAAACCUUAUGGUGCAGAAUGGCAUUGUUCCGGAAGAAGUGAACUCAAUUUUUGAAGCUGACAAGAAGGAAGUAGCUGCACCUAAAAUUGUUGUGGAGCAUCUAAUGAAGAAGUCCCAUAUCACAUACUAUAGUUAUGAACUGUUGUAUGAUGGAAUUCGGGAUAGAAAGUUGGAUAAGAAAAAGUUGUUGGACAAGAAAAAGUUCAAGAGAAGCCCUUCCCUAGGUCCAGGGAAGGGGCAUUUGAAUCUUCAUAGACCUAUAUAAAAGAUCAUAAUGGACAGUGAAUCGUCUUGGAAAUCCACAAAGAUUGAUUGCCUACAGUUUCAUAAAUAGCAAGGCAUCCAGUUAUGUGUAGAAGCACAGGUGAGAAGGUAUAGAAUCUGCAGACGAUGUCUAAGGAUAAUUGUGCAUUUUACUAUUGAAAAUGUAUAGAGGGAAAGAGUGAUCCCUAAAUCAGGAACAAAUAUUGGUCGGAAUUAAAAUAUGGUACGAUUUUUGGUAUCAUUCUCUUUGUUACUUUGCACAAAUUAUAAUGAAUAAACAAGUUUUGAGCAA
Molecule: non-coding RNA, 624 nt
Organism: Cucurbita pepo subsp. pepo (vegetable marrow)
Lineage: Eukaryota; Viridiplantae; Streptophyta; Magnoliopsida; Cucurbitales; Cucurbitaceae
Source: RefSeq, a predicted model, not a curated record